Molecule: ribosomal RNA, 492 nt
Filed under: uncultured bacterium
Lineage: Bacteria
Description: partial 16S ribosomal RNA
Rfam family: Bacterial small subunit ribosomal RNA
Source: RNAcentral
AUUGAACGCUGGCGGCAUGCUUUACACAUGCAAGUCGAACGGUAACAGGCCUUCUGGUGCUGACGAGUGGCGAACGGGUGAGUAAUGCAUCGGAACGUACCCAGAGGUGGGGGAUAACGCAGCGAAAGCUGUGCUAAUACCGCAUGUGAUCUGAGGAUGAAAGCGGGGGACCGAGCAGCAAUGUUUGGACUCGCGCCUUUGGAGCUGCCGAUGUCGGAUUAGCUAGUUGGUGGGGUAAAGGCCUACCAAGGCGACGAUCCGUAGCUGGUCUGAGAGGACGACCAGCCACACUGGGACUGAGACACGGCCCAGACUCCUACGGGAGGCAGCAGUGGGGAAUUUUGGACAAUGGGCGCAAGCCUGAUCCAGCAAUGCCGCGUGCGGGAAGAAGGCCUUCGGGUUGUAAACCGCUUUUGGCAGGAACGAAACGGUGUCCGCUAAUACCGGGCGCUAAUGACGGUACCUGCAGAAUAAGCACCGGCUAACUACGUG